GGGAGGGACACAGGGCGGGGUGGGGAGACGGCCUGGUCUUUAACAGCCUCCCCGUGAGGGAAUCGUGGCAUGUCAGGGGCCCACGGCCCUUCCUGAUGGGCCUGAGGUUCUGGGCAAGCAUGUGGAGGGUGUGCCAGCCUCCAAGUCUCCCCCACGCUGGGAGAUCCUCUGUGGUUCUGGGGGUGAGGGGAGCAGGGAGGACCUGGAUCCCUGAAUUUGUAACAAGUUCCCCAGGCGAUUUUAAAAACACCAUUUGAGAAAGGCUGAUCCUGUUCGGUUCCUGAAUGAGGAAACUGAGUCCCUGAAGUAAGAGGUUUGCCCGCAGCCCCAGCGAGGAUUUAACAGCCAGCGCUGGGGGUCUGACAUGUGGCCGGCGUUGAUCCAGAUGUCUUACACCCAGAGAUCCCCACCUCACUGAGGCUGUCCCGGAGGCGCCGUCUCCUUUGGUCCUCUCAGUCCCCAGCACCUCCCACCUCCGGACACACUGUAUCUUACUUGUUUUAACCUUGAGAUAAACUCCAAAAGGGCAAAACUCCCGUGUGUGUCUGCCUAUCUCAGCGCCUACGACAGUGCCCCCGGACUUCAGCAGGCAUUCCUCAGGGGUGGGAGCAGCUGGGCCUGCUUGGGGCCACAGAGACUCAGCGGUCCCUGCGAACCUCGCCGUGUGCUGGGAACCCAGACACAACCUCGGGGGCUUCUUUGGAGCCCCCCCCAAGCCCAUGGCAGCCCCGAAGACGGGCACAGCCUCUACUCGGCACCCCGGACGCCCUGCACAUUGACCGGCAUGGGUCUCCCCAUCACUGCCCGCCCCCAGUCAGAGUGAAGACGCCACGGGGAACAGGUCUGCCCAGGAAGACAGGCUGACGGAAUAAAUACCAGCACGGCGAUGGUGCUGGCAGAGGACACAGACCCGGUGCAGCAAAGAAGUUCCUCCCCGACCCCAAGGUGUCCAGAGAGAGACCCCGGUGCAGCAGAGAAGUACUUCCCCCGCCCCAAAGUGUCCAGAGAGAGACCCCGGUGCAGCAGAGAAG
Long non-coding RNA from Cervus elaphus (red deer), 1031 nucleotides. RefSeq lists it as uncharacterized. The record is from RefSeq and is a predicted model, not a curated record. NCBI's taxonomy places the organism in Eukaryota, Metazoa, Chordata, Mammalia, Artiodactyla, Cervidae. The transcript is spliced from 3 exons.